CAUGAAUCACCCAGCGCCCUGGUGAUUCAUGUGUACAUUAAAGUUUGCAAAUAGCCAUGAUUUUUCUGCUUCUUUAGGUAAUGGAGAGUCUUAUAAUGACUUUAGGCUACAAGUAUAGUUUCAAUUUCUAAAUCAGGAUGCCCAUUCUAGAUGUUAAUCAGACCUCCAGUCUUUAUCCAAAGGUCUUCCUGGGAGAUCAAUAACAGAUAUCUUAGAAGAUCAUCUUGAUCCUGCCCUCCUCUUAAAAGCUGGGGUACACGAAGAAGACAGUGGAGUCUACAGGCCAUAUGAGUCAAUUCCUCUCCCCUACACCAGAAAGUUGAGUCAUGAAUGAUUUUCACUCUCACCAAAAAGUCCUUGUUCUUCCCCAUCCCCCCGCAUCCUAGUUCUAAAUGGAAGUAGAUGGCAAAACAAGAACAAGGAUGUUGAUGUUGCCAAAAAGAAAGAAAUGGAAAAUCGGGUUGUGACGCAACAUCUAUCAAGCAGAAGUAAAGGAUGAGAGGGUACAGUUGUUACAGCUCUAAGCCUUAACAGUGAAACUUAACUGAAGAAGGAUAUGGACCUGAUGAGAACGAGGCCUCCUGAGGACAAAUCACACUAGCUCUGCAGAGGAUUGAUGGCUCCAGUAGGCAGAUGGGAAAACCCAUCAAAAUGGGACUUUCCAGGAACAUAACCAUGAAAUUGCAAUUGAAAUGGCUUCUCACUUUUCUUCUUUUAACUAAGUGAGAGUAAAGUCACCAUGCAGGAUGGCAUACUGAUCUGUGCAUGUGUGUAUCUUGGUGUAUUCAUGUUGGAAAGGCUCUUAAGAAAAAAGCUGCUAAGAAUGAGAACUCAAUUUUGAGGAUUUGUCUUAAAGUUUCUUCAAAAAGAUUUCUCAAUGCAAAUGGUACACUUAUUUAAUAUACGGCUAAGGUUAGCAUAGUCUGCCUGCUGCUACCACAGCCCAUCAGUCUGUCUAGCUGCACUGGGGCAGGGGGUGCACCUGGGUUAAGUCUAACAGAACUCUGACCCUUUUUUUUUUUUUUUUUUGAGAUGGAGUUUCACUCUUGUUGCCCAGGCUGGAGUGCAAUGGCACGAUCUCGGCUUACUGCAACCUCCGCCUUCCAGGUUCA
RNAcentral lists this long non-coding RNA (1112 nucleotides) under Homo sapiens (human). Its description in RNAcentral is "HSALNT0016538". Lineage: Eukaryota; Metazoa; Chordata; Mammalia; Primates; Hominidae. The record is from RNAcentral.